Mauremys reevesii (Reeves's turtle) is the source of this 558-nucleotide long non-coding RNA. RefSeq lists it as uncharacterized. Lineage: Eukaryota; Metazoa; Chordata; Testudines; Geoemydidae. The record is from RefSeq and is a predicted model, not a curated record. The transcript is spliced from 3 exons.
GUUCCUAUGUGGUGCUGGGAAAGUUGAAAUGUUCAGCUGGCCGCUAACUGUGUUCUUCAGCUGCUGGGUGCCCAACGUGACCGCCGCAGAGUCUGAAGUGUGAGCGCUCUCAGCUGCAGCUGAAAUCUGUAGGAGUUGCCUGUUCAAAGCCCUCAAAUGCUUGACAGACAGAAAACGGGAUGAUCACACCUAUUCCCUAUGGGUACGGAAGAGCAACGUGGAUGUUACAGAUGGUUUCAGGCACAGCCUAAUCCCCAAAACUAACAGAGUAUUACAGAAAAACAGCACCACAAGCUCAGUGCCCCUCCAAGCCUAGCACGCAAGGUGGCUGCCUGCCCCUAAACCCAGCCUUCCUGUAAGGAGUGAGAGUGGGGAUUGGAAGUGACCUGGCUGUGGGGAUUGAGUCACAAGAAGCGGCAGAGGACUGAAGUGACCAUGGGCAGGGGGCAUUAGAUGAAGAGAGCCUGCUGUGCCACACCCAGCCCAUGAGGGGGCAAGCCAGAAGGGAGCCCAUUUGUCUACAGGGGGAUUGACUUUGUUGCAGUGGAGGAUUUUAAA